This 440-nucleotide ribosomal RNA is filed under the name uncultured bacterium. RNAcentral's name for it is "partial 16S ribosomal RNA". It matches the Rfam family "Bacterial small subunit ribosomal RNA", at positions 338 to 795 of the family's 1533-position model. The record is from RNAcentral.
CCUACGGGAGGCAGCAGUGGGGAAUAUUGCACAAUGGGGGAAAGCCUGAUGCAGCAACGCCGCGUGAGUGAAGAAGUAUUUCGGUAUGUAAAGCUCUAUCAGCAGGGAAGAAAAUGACAGUACCUGACCAAGAAGCCCCGGCUAACUACUUGCAAGCAGCCGCGGGAAUACGUAGGGGGCAAGCGUUAUCCGGAUUUACUGGGUGUAAAGGGAGCGUAGACGGCUGUGCAAGUCAGCAGUGAAAGCCCCGGGCUCAACCGCGGGACUGCUUUUGAAACUGGGGAUCUAGAGUGCAGGAGAGGUAAGUGGAAUUCCAGGUGUAGCGGUGAAAUGCGUAGAUAUUAGGAGGAACACCGGUGGCGAAGGCGGCGUACUGGACUGUAACUGACGUUGAGGCUCGAAAGCGUGGGGAGCAAACAGGAUUAGAGACCCGAGUAGUC